UGGGGAAUAUUCCGCAAUGGGCGAAAGCCUGACGGAGCGACGCCGCGUGGAUGAUGACGGUCUUCGGAUUGUAAAAUCCUGUAGAGGGGGAAGAAGGGUGCCGUAAGGCAUUUGACAGUACUCCUAAAGUAAGCUACGGCAAACUCUGUGCCAGCAGCCGCGGUAAUACAGAGGUAGCAAGCGUUGUUCGGAAUGACUGGGUGUAAAGCGCGUGUAGGUGGUUUUGUAAGUUGAAUGUGAAAUCCCUUGGCUCAACCAAGGAACGGCAUUCAAUACUGCAUAACUUGAGUGCGGAAGAGGAAAGUGGAAUUUCGGGUGUAGCGGUGAAAUGCGUAGAUAUCCGAAGGAACACCGGUGGCGAAGGCGACUUUCUGGUCCGCAACUGACACUGAGACGCGAAAGCUAGGGGAGCAAACAGG
Molecule: ribosomal RNA, 419 nt
Filed under: uncultured bacterium
Lineage: Bacteria
Description: bacterial SSU rRNA
Rfam family: Bacterial small subunit ribosomal RNA
Source: RNAcentral